CGGAGCGCUCGGGAGCUCGGGGCUGGUGGGGGCUGUGAGUACGGGGGGAGCUUCUCCUCCUCCGGGCACGGAGCGGGGCGCUGGAGCUGCCCGCGGCUGUGGCGCCGCGUCCUGCAGCGGGCGGUCCCCAGCGGGGCUGGCGGGACCAGCGGGACUGCGGGCGGCGGUUCCAGAGCCGAGCGGCUCCUCCUCGCUCGGUGCCCGUGGGAAGAGGCCGGAGCCUCAGCGUUUGGUUCAGAGGAGCCCUGUAGGCCUGUGUUCGUACCGGGCAGGGCCGCUGGGCUGAAGCGGGAGCUGGGCUCCUGUGCCCGGGGGAGCUCGGACCGGGCGCUGUAGGCGUUCCUCCAGGAGGCGAGCGCUGCCUUCCCUGCGGGCCUGCCCCUUCAGCUCCGUCUGGCACUGCCGCAACUGGCGCGGCUCAAUCACAACUGGGAAGCUUUGUACAGUAUGUGGAAGGCAAGACACGGUUGUUUGGAUUUUUCUAUGUUGAAGUAGAACUUACAGCAUUAUUUGACUCAGUGACCAACAUGUAAUUUUCUGCACCAGAAGACAAGAAGGAAACAGCAGUUGUUAAGAAAUAAGCCAUGCCUGCUGCAGCUGAUGUAACUGUGGGGGACCUGCCUGUGAGACAUACAGGUCUAACUCCAGCUGGAACUGAAGGAUUACAAGAAUCAUGAACUGCACAGAAUAUGAAAGCUCAAUGAGCCAGGUAACAAACCAGCCAAGAAGAACUGGAGGACAGGUUUCCUCAUGUACAUGAUGAUCACAUCUUACUCCAGCAGCAUAAAAAUGAGCAAGAGGAAAAAACUAAAAGCAUUCCUUGCCAAAACCCUUUUAACUAGAAGUUUGGAAUGAAUUUGCAGUAGAAGAACAUUGAAAAAACUCCAUGUAAACAAAAAACCUGCUUACAGGACUGAACUGAGGGUUUAAUGUUGAUGAGAGCACCAGGAGUGCCACCUUCCCCCAGCCAUGCCUUCAGUUACUUGGAUCAAGAGUGUCUCCUGUUGACCACACUGGGAAUAUAUACACUAAAUACUGCCAGGGAGACAGACCACUGCUGGAAUAUGCUGUGUUGUAACAUUCUACUAGGUGAAAGAAUAAACAAUCCAGAAAAAGAGAAUGAACUCUUGAACAAAAACUAUGAUAAGCUGCAUAAGUGUCUUCUGUAUGACCCAUGAACAGCAAUGGAAAUCAAAGGAACAGCAAAUGAAACUGCAAAUUGCUAAACUAGAGAUGGCUAUCAAAUCUGAUUUAGCAGACAAAAAUGCAAUCCUUGACAAGAUCAAAGUAGAAAGAGCAUAUGGGACAGGAGGUUAAACAAGAAAGGCUAGAAGAUGAUAAGGUGGAGAUGGCUGAAGAAAUUUAACAGGAGACAGAAAAGCUCUCACAUCUGUCAGAGGAGCAGUUAGCUGACCAAACAUCAAUUACUUCUGGAAAUGAGAGAGAAAUAACUGAAGGAUUGGAACCAGAAGGAAGUUGAAAAAUCUGGAUUAAAAUUACAUCACUUGGUUUCACAAAGUCAUGGAUUACAUCAGAUGAAAGAAUACAGCAGCUGAGUGUAGAAUGCAGGUGAAGCAAUUUCCCUGCAGAGGACAAUCCACUGUCACUUCCAAAGCCAGCUGGUGCUCAGAGGAGUGACUGUAACCAUAGAACUGUGCUCAGUGAUACCCCAGAAGAUGAGCAGAACUUGAACGUGAAGAUACUGAUUAUGCUGAAUCUGUUUGAAAAAUAUAUUCCUGAAGCAAAGAAAUACCAUUGAACAAGCCAUUGGUGUAAAAACGGUACUGUCCUCUGAAGUCUGCUCUGAAGGUGACAGUUCACUGAGUGAUUUGUUCAAGAAUAUACAAAAUGCUUUGGAUCUCUAAGAGUAGCAUCCAAUCUUAGGUCUUUCAACAGGUUUUUGAUUCACAAGGUGACAGUGCAGUAAUUGGAAAGCUCAAAGGAGCACUGGAAGCCCUCCAUGCCUGCCCUCAGCCGAGAGGGGAAUGCAAAGAUGACUACGAGGCAUGAAAGGAAGUUUGCCUACGCAAGAGCCUUCUCCCAGUGUAAAUGCAUGCUCGAUAGUGCAUCAAAGAUGAGAUCUUUGUAAUUCCUGCAGUAUAUUUAAUGUAUAAUUUAUAUGAAAAGGACGCUUGAUUUGUAGUUGUAAAGUUUUGUAUACUUUUCAGUCUGUUUGUUUUUAUAUUUCCCCCCUAAGGCUAAGAAUAUCUCCACAAUGGACAACGCCUUGUAAAUAAUUAAUACCUACAUGAUUGAACGACGUGCUUUAUUUGCAUUUUUAAGAUUUUUUUUCCUACAUAAAACAGUAAUAAAAAUGCAAGUCAAAAUUUUAAUUUUUAAUAAAAAAACCAUAAGCCUUAGAAAACUGAUUAAAAAUACUUUUAUGUUAUCCCUAAUCACCCCGUUAAAUGGAAUGCCUGUGAUUAGCCUCAUUAAGAAUUUUAUACUGUGAAGAUUUUAUUAAAAGCAAUAUAUGAAAAUUACUUGGA
This is a long non-coding RNA of Zonotrichia leucophrys gambelii, 2489 nucleotides long. RefSeq lists it as uncharacterized. The transcript is spliced from 13 exons. The record is from RefSeq and is a predicted model, not a curated record. Lineage: Eukaryota; Metazoa; Chordata; Aves; Passeriformes; Passerellidae.